This 689-nucleotide long non-coding RNA is filed under the name Homo sapiens (human). RNAcentral describes it as "HSALNT0344566". Lineage: Eukaryota; Metazoa; Chordata; Mammalia; Primates; Hominidae. The record is from RNAcentral.
GCAGGUAGUAUAGACAGGGUGGAUCUGCUGGCCAGGCAGGUAGUGUAGACAGGGCGGAUCUGCUGGGCAGGCAGGUAGUAUAGACAGUGUGGAUCUGCUGGCCAGGCAGGUAGUGUAGAUAGCGUGGAUCUACUGGCCAGGCAAGUAGUGUAGACAGGGCGGAUCUGCUGGGCAGGCAGGUAGUGUAGACAGGGAGGAUCUGCUGGCCAGGAAGGUAGCGUAGAUAGGGUGGAUCUACUGGCCAGGCAGGUAGUGUAGACAGGGCGGAUCUGCUGGACAGGCAGGUAGUAUAGACAGGAUGGAUCUGCUGGAGAGGCAGGUAGUGUAGACAGAGCGGAUCUGCUGGCCAGGCAGGUAGUGUAGACAGGGCGGAUCUGCCAGACAGGCAGGUAGUGUAGACAGGGUGGAUCUGCUGGACAGGCAGGUAAUAUAGACAGGGUGGAUCUAUGGACAGGCAGGUAGUGUAGACAGGGUGGAUCUGCUGGACAGGCAGGUAGUUAGACAGGGUGGAUCUGCUGGGCAGGCAGGUAGUGUAGACAGGGUGGAUCUGCUGGCCAGGGAGGUAGUAUAGACAGGGUAGAUCUGCUGGCCAGGCAGGUAGUGUAGACAGGGCGGAUCUGCCAGACAGGCAGGUAGUGUAGACAGGGUGGAUCUGCUGGCCAGGGAGGUAGUAUGGACAGGGUAGAUCU